CGCACUUGUUGAGUUUGGGAACUUUCAGAGGCUUGAACUUCUCACUUAGGACGCAGCGGAGCUCUCUCAUCAUCAUCAAAUUCAGGCGAAGUGGAUUUAUGCUGACUUUUUACGUCUGGGACUAUGUUUUGCUUUGUCGAAGUGGUUUGUCUUUAGUGUUUUACGCGUUAUAGACGCGCACCGAUAUAGCGUGCGCGAGUAAUAACAUUACUAUGAGGAUGUAGACGCGCCUUUAAUGCACUCGCGUCACUUUAAUCGAUUCCUAUCUGAAGGAGAGUUAGUGUUUGGUGCAGAGAUGUGGGGCUGUUGGGAUAUGGGAUUAUUUAUGGACUAUCAUUGGACUUUAAACUCUAAAGGGACACUCGCUUGAGCAGUGAACGGAGAAUAUCGCUGCUUUGCCAAGAUGCAUCAUCAGCCCAAAUCCGAUGGGACGCUUCAGCAUGCUGUCAUCUGUUCAGAUGGAGUGACAUUUGUCUGGUUCUCCAAGUGCUCUUAAUCAAUGAUGUUAUCAAUGCUGUGGAAUCUGGCCCGCUUGCAUCAUGUGCACUAACAGUGGAACCUCAAUGGAGACAGCUCCUAUUUCCCAGACCUUUCUUUCAUGACAGAGCGGGCCUGUGAACAAUGCAUCUCUGUGCAGUUUGUUUUCUCCAGCGAUCAACUUGUUUUUAACAUGCUCUGUGUUGAGUGGUGGCAAUGGAAAGAGUGGGCCGGGCCCUGGCCAUACUCAGGAUUUCAGUUCUGCUGCUUGAGCCCAGUGGACAAACCUGACAGUUCCAGGGGAGUCCCGUACCCACGGACACCUACGCCAAGCAUUGAGCUCACUGUUUU
Cyprinus carpio carpio is the source of this 828-nucleotide long non-coding RNA. The record is from Ensembl. NCBI's taxonomy places the organism in Eukaryota, Metazoa, Chordata, Actinopteri, Cypriniformes, Cyprinidae.